GAUGAAGAACGCAGCGAAAUGCGAUAAGUAAUGUGAAUUGCAGAAUUCAGUGAAUCAUCGAAUCUUUGAACGCACAUUGCGCCCGCCAGCAUUCUGGCGGGCAUGCCUGUUCGAGCGUCAUUUCAACCCUCGAGCCCCCCCGGGGGCCUCGGUGUUGGGGGACGGCACACCAGCCGCCCCCGAAAUGCAGUGGCGACCCCGCCGCAGCCUCCCCUGCGUAGUAGCACACACCUCGCACCGAAGCGCGGAGGCGGUCACGCCGUAAAACGCCCAACUUUCUUAGAGUUGACCUCGGAUCAGGUAGGAAUACCCGCUGAACUUAAGCAUAUCAAUAAGCGGAGGA
Molecule: unclassified non-coding RNA, 343 nt
Filed under: soil metagenome
Description: partial contains 5.8S ribosomal RNA, internal transcribed spacer 2, and large subunit ribosomal RNA
Rfam family: 5.8S ribosomal RNA (bases 1-120)
Source: RNAcentral